This 21-nucleotide non-coding RNA is filed under the name Caenorhabditis elegans. Lineage: Eukaryota; Metazoa; Nematoda; Chromadorea; Rhabditida; Rhabditidae. The record is from RNAcentral.
UCGUUCCCGAAAAAAACACAA